This 508-nucleotide ribosomal RNA is filed under the name uncultured bacterium. RNAcentral describes it as "partial 16S ribosomal RNA". It matches the Rfam family "Bacterial small subunit ribosomal RNA", at positions 29 to 523 of the family's 1533-position model. The record is from RNAcentral.
AUUGAACGCUGGCGGCAUGCCUUACACAUGCAAGUCGAACGGCAGCGGGGGAGAAGCUUGCUUUUCCUGCCGGCGAGUGGCGAACGGGUGAGUAAUACAUCGGAACGUACCCAGUAGUGGGGGAUAGCCCGGCGAAAGCCGGAUUAAUAACGCAUAUGCCCUGAGGGGGAAAGCGGGGGGCCCAAAGGCCUCGCGCUAUUGGAGCGGCCGAUGGCUGAUUAGCUAGUUGGUGGGGUAAAGGCCUACCAAGGCGACGAUCAGUAGCUGGUCUGAGAGGACGACCAGCCACACUGGGACUGAGACACGGCCCAGACUCCUACGGGAGGCAGCAGUGGGGAAUUUUGGACAAUGGGCGAAAGCCUGAUCCAGCAAUGCCGCGUGUGCGAAGAAGGCCUUCGGGUUGUAAAGCACUUUUGUUUGGAAAGAAAAGGUUUGGGUUAAUACCCUGGACUGAUGACGGUACCAAUCGAAUAAGCACCGGCUAACUACGUGCCAGCCGCCGCCGUAA